GCCUGGCCUGCUGACUGCUUCUUCGUGUUGCCUUUCCUGCUAAGGCGAGCUCUGAAUCUACGUGAAUGUUUUGUACACAGUAGGUGCUCAGUCAAUAUGGACUGUGUGGAUGAAUUGGCAGGGGCAGAGACCAUGCCUCAUUUUCCCUAGUAGGCAAUAGAGCAAGACCCUGUCUCAAAAAAAGAAAAGAAAAGAAAAGAAAAGAAAAGAAGAGAAAAAAUAGCACCAUUGCAGCCGCUUAAAUGCACUCUCCACUCUUCUCACUAAGGUGGCAGUCAGCGUCCUCAGUAGAGAAAUGUGCAGCUUUCAUGGAUGUACAAACAGCCUGGAGACAUUCCCAAACUUGCUAGAACAACUUUGUGGAAUAAGUGGUCACCAGCGUGGUAGAAUUUGAAGGUUCAGGUCAAUUCUUCCUAAAAAUAUUGCCCUUGAUCCCAUGGCAAUGCCUGAGAUGACACCGUGGAGGGGGUAGACCUAAGAGUUUUAAAGGAUGUUUGCUUUUCCAGAUCCACCCUUAAAACGCAAAUACGCUAGGAAAGGUUCUAAUUUAAAGCAAAGGCAGCCAACCCCAAACCCAGCGCCACAUGGUACAUCUUCAAGACUUUGGGCUUUGUCCUUGAAAAAGAACAUGUGGCUGUUAAUACCUGCACUAAUGCUGGGAUGCAAAAACACCGAGUCCUUUCAGAGCCCUCAAAGAGAAUUGUCAUCCAGAGACACGCAAGGAUGCUCUAGCUUAGAGAAAAAUGUCCUUCUCAUCCUGUCCCUUCUUGAUAAGACCCAAUUGUGGACCUCUUUCUCUCUCUUCACCUAUCAACGUUCUCCUAGAGCAAAUCUUGUUUUGCAGGGAGCUCUUCUCAGCCAGGCCUUCAUCUUUCUUCCAUGUUGGAUGCUUCCUGACCUUGAAAAUUGGACUCCAAGUUCUUUAGCUUUUGGACUGGGACUUACACCAGUGGUUUGCCAGGAGCUCUCAGGCCUUCGGCCACAAACUGAAGGCUGCACUGUUGGCUUCCCUACUUUUGAGGUUUUGGGACUCGGACUGGCUUCCUCGCUCCUCAGCUUGCAAACAGCCGGUUGUACGACUUUACUUUGUGAUUGUGUGAGUCAAUAGUCCUUAAUAAACUCCCUUUCCUAUAUACAUCUAUCCUAUUAGUCUGUCCCUCUAGAGAACCCUGACUGAUACAGAAAGGGUGAGGGGUGGUAUGGAGCCUGAACUCAGGCCUCCCUGGCUCCAAAGCUCUCCACUGCUCUGCCCUCCCCACCUCUCUCUGGGUUUAAGCUCCUGGAGGGAUGAGACCAAGGCAUGGUCAUCUCUAUCCAUGGAGUCCUGCAAAUAGCACAUUCUCAACAAAGUUUGUUGAAAAAGACCAUCUGGGUUCAAGUCCCAGUCCUGCCAUUUACUAAGCUACAAGGGGCUUUGGCAAGUUAUGUAACCUCUCCAUGCCUCAGUUUCUUCAUCUGUAAAAUAAUAAAAAUAAUAGUCCUACACAUUUAGGCUUGCAGGUAGAACUAGAUGACCUCACAUAUGAAAAAUGCCAGAACAGUACCUGGCGCAGGGUAAAUAUUGUGAAAUGCUGGGCUUCAUUAUCAUUAUGGCCCCCUUUCAAGGAUGCCUGGUGCAGGAAGAGGGGUGAUCUGGUUUGGCUCUGUACUCCCACUCAAAUCUCAUGUUGAAUUGUAAUCCCCAGUGUUGGGGGAGGGACCUCGUGGGAGGAGAUUGGAUCAUGGGGGCGGAUGUCCGCUUUGCUGUUGUCAAGAUAGGGAGCAAGUUCUCAUGAGAUCUGCUUGUUUGGAAGUGUGUAGCACUUCCUGCUUUGCUCUUUCUCCCUCUCCUGCUCCCGCCAUGUAAGACA
RNAcentral lists this long non-coding RNA (1850 nucleotides) under Homo sapiens (human). Its description in RNAcentral is "non-protein coding lnc-PNRC2-2:2". The record is from RNAcentral. Lineage: Eukaryota; Metazoa; Chordata; Mammalia; Primates; Hominidae.